RNAcentral lists this ribosomal RNA (492 nucleotides) under uncultured bacterium. Its description in RNAcentral is "partial 16S ribosomal RNA". It matches the Rfam family "Bacterial small subunit ribosomal RNA", at positions 29 to 507 of the family's 1533-position model. The record is from RNAcentral.
AGUGAACGCUGGCGGUAGGCCUAACGCAUGCAAGUCGAACGGCAGCACAGUAAGAGCUUGCUCUUACGGGUGGCGAGUGGCGGACGGGUGAGGAAUACCUCGGAAUCUACUUUUUCGUGGGGGCUAACGUAGGGGAACUUACGCUAAUACCGCAUACGACCUACGGGUGGAAGCAGGGGAUCUUCGGCCCUUGCGCGAUUGAAUGAGCCGAUGUCGGAUUAGCUAGUUGGCGGGGUACAGGCCCACCAAGGCGACGAUCCGUAGCUGGUCUGAGAGGAUGAUCAGCCACACUGGAACUGAGACACGGUCCAGACUCCUACGGGAGGCAGCAGUGGGGAAUAUUGGACAAUGGGCGCAAGCCUGAUCCAGCCAUACCGCGUGGGUGAAGAAGGCCUUCGGGUUGUAAAGCCCUUUUGUUGGGAAAGAAAAGCAGCAGGUUAAUACCCCGCUGUUCUGACGGUACCCAAAGAAUAAGCACCGGCUAACUUCGUG